Molecule: non-coding RNA, 86 nt
Filed under: Pseudomonas sp. NFACC56-3
Lineage: Bacteria; Pseudomonadati; Pseudomonadota; Gammaproteobacteria; Pseudomonadales; Pseudomonadaceae
Also listed under: 3 other names
Source: RNAcentral
CGUCUUGGCGGCUGUGCGUGGGCAGACUUCGGUCUGGCCGGGUCCUGCUAACCGGUAUUUCCACCCCGCGUACCGCUGCCACCUUA